UUUUCACUUUCUGUCUCUCUAUAAACUUUCUUCUCCAAUUCUCUCUUGUUUCUUUCUAACAUUUCUCCUUUCCUCCUCCUCUUCCCCACCUUCUUCUCCUCUGUCCCGCCUCUGUUCCAUCGUCGCGCCUCCUCUCUCCCCUCUUUUUAUUCUUCUUUUUGCCUCUUCUUUUCUUCUCUUCUUUUCUUUAUUUCUUCUCUUCUUCUUCCUCUCUUCUUCACCCCCUUUUUGCCCCGAUUCCGACGUCCACAACGGCGGCGGCCGUGGCGCCGCUGCCACCUCUUCCUCAACGGUGACAACAUAGGUAAAUAGAAACUUAUAUCUACUUUCCUAACUUUUUAUUUUUUUUAUUUAACCGGAGAUGGGCUUACAUGUCAUCAGAGGAUACCUCUGGGGAGUCAUUCACUGUCAUGCGAGUCUCGAUCUGUAAAUCUAGGGUUUGACUUUUCGUUUAUAUGGUGUUUCUCUGAGUUUUUAUUGCUUUUAUUGUGGCUUCUAUUUUAAUGGAGUUGGGGAUCGGUGUGAAGGAAGAAGAAGUAGAUAAAAACAAAGGAAACAAAAGGGUUGGUCGCCGACGUUUGACCUGACGGCCGAAGAGGAAGAGGACACAGGGAUGGCUGAGAGGAGGUAAAACUUUGUUUUAACUUUUAGUUAAUUUAUUUCAAAAAAUAGAAAUGAAAAAAGACUAGACUUUAUAAUCUUAUUUAAGGUGAACGAAGAAAGAAGACUUAGAUUUGACCCACUGGAGGAGAUCGAUCGAAAAAAAAAACGAAGAAGAGGAAAGACACUCUUAGGAAAGGUAAAACACUUAAAAUCUAAAUAUUCUAGUUUUCCAUGGUAGAAACUGUUUUGUUAUUAAGGUUAAAAUAUGUAGAUUGAAAGUGAAAUUUUGAAUGUCCUAUUAUUGAACCGAAUUUAGUAAUCUAAACACCAUAAAAAUGACUUAUUUGUUUGAAUGAUUUGAUCAUUUUUUACAUUUAAUAAAAUUCCAGUAAUCAUUAUUAGAAGAAAAUGCUCAUGUUUUGCUUGAUUGUAGUGCCACAAGUUCAAUCCUUGUAUGGUAAUUGAGUUUUGAUGCAAUCAUAAUAAAGGAACACAGAGAUACGAGUGGUAUAUGAAUAUUUGAAAAAUCGAAAAGAUGUUUUGUUUAGGAGGACCAACUUUUGAAAGCUGACUUUGUUCUUCUUUUGCAGUGUGGAUCACCCCUUGGCUGCUGGCUCUAGAAACAUAGGAAUUUGGAAGCUUUGAGUCCCCAAAGUUUCGGCUAGAAGCGCUUUGUAUUUUUCUGUUUAUUUUUGUCCAUUUUCUUUUGUAGUGGGAUUGUGUGUAAUAGGAUUGGGGUGUAGUGGGAAUGGGGUUUAGUGAGAUUGGGUAGAGCUCUUUUGUUGUCAUCGGUAGAUCCGUUCUUCUUCGUUUUAUCUCCUCCCUUUCGCGAAAAAAAUGGUGGUCUUUUUAAACGAAAAUAAGGGCUGCCACCACACUUGUCUUCCAACCGGAUUUUGACAUCCAUUACUAACACAAAGGGAGGUGGCCUGUCCCUGUUGACUAAUAAAAACGGGCCCAAAUUGAGUCUGAAAUCGGGCAUGAAAUUUGGUAUAAAAUCGAUCCCGAAAAUUUGAUGUAAAAUAGAGCUACAAAAUAAUAAAAACUCGAGGACCUGAAAUUUUUUUUGUUACUACAUCAUCAGUGGUGACUUGCUAUAAAUCAUUACAAGCAUCAAACUCGUAAGAAGGCAUAGAUUUUGCUGAAUCGCUUCUACUCCUUUGGGGAAGCGAAGCAGGUUCUUCAAACAGAGGGUAUUGACGAGUACCAUCGGAUUGUUCUAGUAUGUAGUGAUAGGAUUGUCGAUUCAUGAUGAUUGAUUAUGUGUUUUUCUAUCUUGUUGCCUUGAUUGUCCCUUUUCCUUUCGAUUCACAGUUUCCUCAAUUUUCCAAUUUUUUUAUUUUCUUGUGAGAUUGAUUGCUGAGUUGAUUGUUGAGCGGAUGUUUAUGAGCGUUGCGAG
Molecule: long non-coding RNA, 2002 nt
Filed under: Linum usitatissimum (flax)
Lineage: Eukaryota; Viridiplantae; Streptophyta; Magnoliopsida; Malpighiales; Linaceae
Description: long non-coding RNA (LUSI_LNC004529)
Source: RNAcentral